Molecule: ribosomal RNA, 253 nt
Filed under: uncultured bacterium
Lineage: Bacteria
Description: partial 16S ribosomal RNA
Rfam family: Bacterial small subunit ribosomal RNA
Source: RNAcentral
UACGAAGGGGGCUAGCGUUGCUCGGAAUGACUGGGCGUAAAGGGCGCGUAGGCGGCUCAUACAGUCAGGCGUGAAGUUCCUGGGCUCAACCUGGGGACUGCGCUUGAGACGUGUGGGCUUGAGUGGGGAAGAGGGUCGUGGAAUUCCCAGUGUAGAGGUGAAAUUCGUAGAUAUUGGGAAGAACACCGGUGGCGAAGGCGGCGACCUGGUCCUUGACUGACGCUGAGGCGCGAAAGCGUGGGGAGCAAACAGG